Lucilia sericata (common green bottle fly) is the source of this 4151-nucleotide long non-coding RNA. RefSeq lists it as uncharacterized. Lineage: Eukaryota; Metazoa; Arthropoda; Insecta; Diptera; Calliphoridae. The transcript is spliced from 2 exons. The record is from RefSeq and is a predicted model, not a curated record.
CUGGGACCAAAUGACAGUGUACAAAACAUUAGUACUUGUUUCACUCGUUAGUUUGGUUUGAUGACUUACGGUGCGGCUAUAGGAAUUUAUUUUUUUUUGGUUUAGCAUGCGAACAAAAUAAAUAUUAAAACAAAAUAAGAAAAAUAAAUAUAUAGUAAUAAAUAAAUUAAUAAUUUAUACUAAAGUUGAAAUUAAAAUAAUAACGAAAGAAUUAGAGAAAAUUUAAAUGUAAUAGUUUUAAUUGAAAAAAAAAACACCUAAAACGCGUGUGAAAAUUUGAAAAAAAUAAUAUUUAAAAACGUAAAGAAAAAAGUUUAAAACUUUGUUUUUUUUAUUUGGCAGUUUCGAUUUUUUAUUAUUUGUUUAAAAUCCCCUUUCUUAACAAACGAAACGAGCCUGAAAGUUUUUGGCCCCCUUAAUACCCCACGCCUUUAAGUUGUCAUUACUAAAACAACGUGUAGAGCAAAGUUCACAAAAAGGAAAAAAAUUAUUUAUAAUUUUUGUUUAAAUUUAAAGCGUUUUUAAUUUUGUUAAAAUAUUUUUAUAAAUAUAAAACUAAGUUAAAGUUUUCAAUUAAAAGUUAUAAUAAAUUUUAAGGUUUUAAUUAAAAUAACCUACAAAAAAUCAGCUGUUUAGCUAAAACCAAGUGUCAAAAAAAAAUAAAGAGAGAAAACAACAACAACAACAAUUAACUGUUAUAAUUAAGUGUUAAUAAUAAAACAACAAUUAAUGUAAUAAAAAAAAAUUUAAUAAAAUUACAAAAUUUAAAGAAAAAUAAUUAAAAAUUUUGGAAAUUUUGAAAAUUUAAAGAAUUUUUUAAUAAAAAAACUUAAGAGCACAAGUUUAAAGAGAGAUUUUCUUUUAAGUGAAAGUGUGUGUGUGUGUGAAAAACUGUGUGGAAGGCAAGUGGAUUUUGUUGUGAGUUUUUGAGCUGGUAGUGGUAAUAUCCUGGUUAAGUUCUACUACACCCACACAUGUUUACAACACGUUCAAAAUUUUGCACGCCAAUUUUUAGUUAGUUACACGCAAGGCAACUCUUUGGAUUAAACUCAUUUUUUUGAACUAAAAAAAACGCUAAAAUUCUCAUUUCCUUAAAAAAAAAUUACAAAAAAAACACCUUUGAACAGUUGCCGUGCUAAAAAGAAAAUUUUUUAAAUUUGUUAAAAACAACUAACUAAAACAUGUAAAAUAAAACAAUCUACAAAUUAACUGCCUUGUUUUAAAGAAAAAGAACUCUGCUCCUAAUAUACUCUUCAUAAACAAAAAUUACCCACAAAUAAAAACCAAAAAAAAAGAUUUUUUUUUGAAAUAUUUUGUCUAUAGACUAUAAAAUCAUCGAUUUUUUUUUGUACUCACUUAGAGAGAGGAUUUUGUAUUAUUUGUUUCUUUUUUUUUAAAAGUGAAGUGUUGUUGUUUAUAAAUAAUAUUACUUAAAAAUUACUGCAGUAGCAAACAAAUACAAAAAAAAAGCGCUAAAUUAAGCUUAAUUUCAAAAGGUUGUUGUUAAAAACAAAAAACUAAUAACAAUAAUUGGCUUUUAAACAAAAAUAUAGAAAUAACCAUAAAAAAAAAAUUAAAACUCUUGCUACUAAAACUGAAAAAUUAAAAAAAAAAACGCUAAUUUGCAAAAAACGCUUAAAUUUAAAAAACUCAAAGUUUAAUAAUAAAACAUGUUUAAAUCAAUAAAACUAAUAUUAAAACACAAUAAAAACUUUAAAAAUAGUUAAAAUCUUUAAAAACGCUUCAAAUAAAAUAAUUUAAAAUUCUAACCUCAAAAAAAAUCACUAAAAUUAAACAAAAAAAACCAAAAAUUUUCCGUUAAGCAUUUAAUGCAAAAUAAAGAAAAUAUUACAAAAAAACAACCUUUAAAUAAAUACAAAAAAAUACACUCAACUACAUAAAAAAACUAAAAAAAAAAUUGUUAAAAUUAUUUAUUUUUAUAAUCAUUGUUAUUUGUUAAAAUAAAAAAAAAUUGCAAUAAAAAAAAGAAAAUAAAUUAAAAAAAUACGCUGUGCAUUUUCUAGUAGCUGAGAUUCAACAACCACAAGUUAGAAAAAAAUCACUAAAAUUACCUUCUAAAUAAAAUAUAAAAAAAUCACUUAAUUAAAAAAACGCCUAAAAUAACAUAAAAAAACCCACAAAUAACACAAAAAAAAAUCAGCUAUUUAACAAAAAAUUAAACAAAAAAAACAUUAAAGCAUAUAAAAUAUAUAUAUAAAACAAAAUAAAAGCAAUUUGUUAAAUACACAAAAAAAAAAAAACAAAAAAAAUAAUUAAAUUUAAAUAAAAAAAGGUGCCUUUAAUUUAUAGCAAAUUUUACAACAUAUUAAAACAAAAAAAAAGAAAAAUUAACCCUAAAAUUAAAACACGUGCAAUAUUUAUUAAUAAGCCAUAAAAAAAUUUUGUCCUAAAUAAUAAUAAUAAUAAUAAUAAUAAUAAUUUUAAACUUUGUGAUUUGUUUUUAUUAUCUUUAAAUAAAUAUAUAUAUAAAAUAUAAUUUGCUUAACUAAAGCAAUAACAAAAGUUAUACAAGAAAAAAAAAAAAUAAAUAAAUAAAUAAAAUUCAUUAAAAAUUUCUUUAAGAAAUUUUUAAAUAAUUAUAUUGCAAAUAUAUUUCGUUGCUGUUUGUUUUUGUAAAAAUUUUAUGAAAAAAUGAGUGACAGGGAGCGAUCGUCCCCAACACUGAUCGAAACUGGUUUAAAAAACUUAAUUGGUGGACGUGAUGGCAAUUAUCCAUUGAUAAGCGGCAUAAAUGGUAAGCACAAUUCCUAAGCUUAUUUUUAUAAGAAGUCAUUUUCAAAAUGUCGGUAAGUUAUUCAAAAAUCUCGUCUGAGAAAAUGAAAGAGGCCUUUAUAAGAAAUUGGAAAGAUUUGAAGUGUAUGUAUAAGUAUAUGGAUAAGUCUAUUGAAUAUGAAUUUGAGAACUAGUAUAUUGACUGGUCUAUUCAUUUAUGUAUGGACCAGUUUAUGUAUUAGUCUUUGAACUUAUCUAUUAACUAGUCUAUGGGGUAGUCCAUUGGCUACUCUAACUAGUCUUUGGACUAGUCUAUGAACUAUUAUAUUAACUAAUCUAUGGACUAGACUAUAGACUAGUCUAUGGACUUGUCUGUGUACUAGCCUAUUAGUCUAUGGACUCCAUAGGUUAGUCUAUCUUCUAUUUUUAUAACUGUUUCAAAUUAAACUUGAUCCCCUUAAAAUACAUCUAUUUGAUUUUUUCUCUUUUCUCAUUUUGGGAAACCUUUUCAAUCUUCCUUACUUCUUACCUUACAAGUACUUCAUACAAAGUGUUCUCAAAAAAGAAAUUGCCUUUUUUAAUGAAGAUUAAUUUCAGUCUUAUUGGCACUUGUAUCAAUGUCAGUUUUUGGGCUUCGACAAUAUGCAAUGAGAUCUAAAUGUGCAAAAAAGACACAGUAAUAGUGAUAUUACCACUUAAUGGCAAAUGGUCAUGUUAACAAUUGUCAAUGUUAAUGUGAAUAAAUUUGUCUUGUGAUGAACAAAAUGUCAAAGAAAAUAUAGCAUAUCAUGUUUUGUAAAUAUAAAGUAAUAAAUUUUGUGACAAUAAGAAGUAUUAAGGAAACACGACUUUAAUAAAGUGAUUAAUAUGAGACAAAUUUUUCGACAUAUUUUGUUUCAAUAAUAAAGUUUUGUUAAGCUGUUAUAAAUAGGUCUUUAAAAAAAUGUGUCCUAUGUAGUAAAAUUUUCUUUGUUUUCCAUGAGACCCUUAGCGGCCUGGGUCUUCUUUUCGGAAAUUCAAAAAUUUCUUAAGAAUUUAAAAUAAUUUCCAUUAAAAUAAGUUAAAUUUCUAAAAAUGUUCUAAAUUAUGCAUUAAAAAGUUUUUUUUAGUAAAAAGUUCUAUUCAAAUACUUUUUUUAAUUUAAACAACAAUUUAAAUUCAAAUUUUUCAUUUUUAAAAUCCUACAUUAACAUUUUUCUGCAAUUUAUUUUGUUAGAAAACAAGACAGAAGCACUUUCAACAGGAAUAACAACAGCACAAAAGUAUGCAAUAAAAACAAAAAAGCAUUUACACACACAUACAGCUGAACACACACAGUAUGAGUCAGAAUUUAAGUAACACAAAUAUUUUAUCCAGGCAUAACAACUACAUACUAGGUAAUGGGUAUUAGUGGAAUAAGUAGUACCAUCAUGAAGAAA